AACGAACGCUGGCGGCAGGCUUAACACAUGCAAGUCGAACGGGUGUAGCAAUACAUCAGUGGCAGACGGGUGAGUAACACGUGGGAACCUUCCUAGGGGUACGGAACAACUCAGGGAAACUUGAGCUAAUACCGUAUACGUCCGUAAGGAGAAAGAUUCAUCGCCCCUAGACGGGCCCGCGUCGGAUUAGGUAGUUGGUGGGGUAACGGCCUACCAAGCCUACGAUCCGUAGCUGAUCUGAGAGGANGAUCAGCCACACUGGGACUGAGACACGGCCCAGACUCCUACGGGAGGCAGCAGUGGGGAAUCUUGGACAAUGGGCGCAAGCCUGAUCCAGCCAUGCCGCGUGAGUGAAGAAGGCCUUAGGGUUGUAAAGCUCUUCUACCAGGGACGAUAAUGACGGUACCUGGAGAAUAAGCCCCGGCAAACUUCGUGCCAGCAGCCGCCGC
RNAcentral lists this ribosomal RNA (449 nucleotides) under uncultured bacterium. Its description in RNAcentral is "bacterial SSU rRNA". It matches the Rfam family "Bacterial small subunit ribosomal RNA", at positions 29 to 521 of the family's 1533-position model. The record is from RNAcentral.